This 161-nucleotide ribosomal RNA is filed under the name uncultured bacterium. RNAcentral describes it as "partial 16S rRNA". It matches the Rfam family "Bacterial small subunit ribosomal RNA", at positions 358 to 511 of the family's 1533-position model. The record is from RNAcentral.
GGAAUCUUCCACAAUGGACGCAAGUCUGAUGGAGCAACGUCGCGUGAGUGAAGAAGGGUUUCGGCUCGUAAAGCUCUGUUGUUAAAGAAGAACGUGGGUAAGAGUAACUGUUUACCCAGUGACGGUAUUUAACCAGAAAGCCACGGCUAACUACGUGCCAG